RNAcentral lists this long non-coding RNA (310 nucleotides) under Solanum tuberosum (potato). RNAcentral describes it as "long non-coding RNA (STUB_LNC000115)". Lineage: Eukaryota; Viridiplantae; Streptophyta; Magnoliopsida; Solanales; Solanaceae. The record is from RNAcentral.
UUUAAGGUAUUGUAUGGGGGUAUUUACGUAAUUUUUCUAAUUAAAAUUUCAUAUGAAUUGAAAGUGUUGGUAUCAAUUAUAUACAUAUAGGUGUAUAUGUAUACAUUUUGGGCAGCACACAAUUUUUUGGGCAGCACCUUUGAAGGAUAGCUGCCCAAGUGAUAAACAUCACUUGUUUGACUAUAUAUUUUCACACCUCCUUUAGUAAAUUCGUUUUCCUCAAGUCUUAGAACCUUAGAAACAUAUCUAAACAGAUUAUUCUUCAAAAUCACAAGAGAAAAACUUGGCCCUUUUGGCUGGAAUUCGAGAC